CGCCGACAUGUACUGUAUUGACUGUUUCUGGUAAUUAGUUCUACAUAUCGGUACAUUAAAUUGUACAGCUCUAUGUUGAUAGGAAUAGGAACGUUUCCGAAGAUUACACAAAUCCAAGAAUUCGACACGAUUAUUACGAACACUUAAGAAUACGUUAAUGUCAAUUUGUAACUUAAAAAAAACUGAAAUUGGCAUAAUGUUAUAGCAUCUAAACAGCUCUCUGGAAUGCUCAAGAGAACGCGGGCCAGUCAUAAUUUUUUCGAGGCUCUUGUUUGCAGGACAGAUAGUACAUUUAUGUUCCUGGCGGUGGUAGUACCCCACACCAUAAAACAAUAACUACAUCUAGAAACAAAGUGUGAGUUAUAUAUUCCCAACUUGACAUUUUUUGGCUGUAGAUAACGACGUCUACAUAACAUUCCAGUCGUCAUUCUCAUCUUGACGGACAGCGAAGCCAUUGGUUAGAUUGGUGCGCCAUGGCAGAAGCCUUGCGACACACACGAACCAACGGCACCCAGGAGGAGGAGCCUCAGAGAGCACCUCAUCAGCGCUCAGAGAGCAGACGGCCUUUGCCAGCGGGUGUCCCAGUGGCUUGCAGAACAAGACCCAGCGGACACCGGAAAUGCUGUAGAAGGGUACGACUCCUAUCUGCUGGGUGAGGAUGGCAUCCUGCUCAGGUACAUACCCCAGGCGGAGGACGAUGGCAGCUCCUCCCCGUUUAGAGUCGUGGUGCCACGGAAGUUGCGUCUACAGGCUUCACCCCGGCGUUCCUGAACUGGGGACGAGAGGCACCUUUUCCAGUGGAGAAUGCUCUGGGCCUCCGGGAUGGUGCUACCCGGCCUCCUUAUUCAAGGUUUGCUGAGGACCUCCGGAGUCGGCUGGACGAUGCAGCCCGGACUGCUCGGGAGAACAUGGACGUCGCAAGGUUGGAUCAGGCUCGCCAGUACAACGGUGGACGUCGGAACCUCACCUACAGCGUCGGUGACCUCGUCAUUCGACGGACUCACCCGCUAAGUGAUGCGUCACGAGGCUUUGCAGCUACACUCGCAGAUAGGUGGGAUGGCCCUUUUGAGGUAAGUGCGUGCCCCUCCGGCCUCACUUACAGGCCUCGUCGCUGCGACACCGGCGAAGAGUCUGGGCCAGUUCACAUCUCGGACCUGAAGACUUAUCACCUCCGGGACCCGGACGGAGACGAUACCGACCUUCCGCCUCCUCCCCUGCAGGACUCGGACCAGGGAGCCCCUCCCAGACCUGCAAGACGUCGCUACAACCUACGUCCCCGUAGACAGCGCACGUGACGCCACCUCAUCGGCCGCUAGUUUCUAGUGCUCUCGAUUUGGUUUGGCCUUUUCGCUAAUUAUCUGUCUGUCUUUCGUUUUCACGACUGUUUACGAUAAUUAGUGUUGUGCGAGGGCUGGACAGACCCUCUCGGCUGGGAGCUCCCCCCUGACCGUUCCAUUCUUUUACCAUUUUUUAGGAUGGCUCCACGUCACAACCAGACCGGCCGGAGCAGUAGCCGAGGGUGCUCCCGCCAGAGGACUCAGAGGCCCACCAACCCCCCAACCGAUGUUGGCGUCCUCGGCGAUGAGCGGAUCGGUGGAUCACCAACACCCCA
Molecule: long non-coding RNA, 1612 nt
Organism: Ornithodoros turicata
Lineage: Eukaryota; Metazoa; Arthropoda; Arachnida; Ixodida; Argasidae
Exons: 3
Source: RefSeq, a predicted model, not a curated record